RNAcentral lists this ribosomal RNA (457 nucleotides) under uncultured bacterium. Its description in RNAcentral is "partial 16S ribosomal RNA". It matches the Rfam family "Bacterial small subunit ribosomal RNA", at positions 355 to 803 of the family's 1533-position model. The record is from RNAcentral.
UGGGGAAUUUUGGACAAUGGGGCAACCCUGAUCCAGCAAUGCCGCGUGUGUGAAGAAGGCCUUCGGGUUGUAAAGCACUUUUGUCCGGAAAGAAAACGCCGUGGUUAAUACCCGUGGCGGAUGACGGUACCGGAAGAAUAAGCACCGGCUAACUACGUGCCAGCAGCCGCGGUAAUACGUAGGGUGCAAGCGUUAAUCGGAAUUACUGGGCGUAAAGCGUGCGCAGGCGGUCCGCUAAGACAGAUGUGAAAUCCCCGGGCUUAACCUGGGAACUGCAUUUGUGACUGGCGGGCUAGAGUAUGGCAGAGGGGGGUAGAAUUCCACGUGUAGCAGUGAAAUGCGUAGAGAUGUGGAGGGAUACCGAUGGCGAAGGCAGCCCCCUGGGCCAAUACUGACGCUCAUGCACGAAAGCGUGGGGGAGCAAACAGGAUUCAGAUACCCUGGUAGUCCACGCCCU